AAGAAAUACAGUAUUCUAUUGAAGAUCUUUUACAGGCAAGGCAGGAAAUAAAACAGAAUUAAAAGUUCUAAAAUAUUUCAUUCUUUACUAUAUCGUGUAGACAGGGAAGAUUAACAGAAAAAUAAACAGAGCUGCCUAAAAUUAACAAUUUAAAGUUUCGGAUCAGUAAUAUAGUAUUCGAUGAUAAAGGAGGCGAAGGGGG
RNAcentral lists this long non-coding RNA (202 nucleotides) under Mytilus galloprovincialis (Mediterranean mussel). The record is from RNAcentral. Lineage: Eukaryota; Metazoa; Mollusca; Bivalvia; Mytilida; Mytilidae.